RNAcentral lists this ribosomal RNA (206 nucleotides) under uncultured bacterium. RNAcentral describes it as "partial 16S ribosomal RNA". It matches the Rfam family "Bacterial small subunit ribosomal RNA", at positions 568 to 774 of the family's 1533-position model. The record is from RNAcentral.
UGCGUAGGCGGCUAAGCAAGUCAGAUGUGAAAUACACGGGCUCAACCCGUGAGCUGCAUUUGAAACUGUUUAGCUUGAGUGAAGUAGAGGCAGGCGGAAUUCCCGGUGUAGCGGUGAAAUGCGUAGAGAUCGGGAGGAACACCAGUGGCGAAGGCGGCCUGCUGGGCUUUAACUGACGCUGAGGCACGAAAGCUGGGUAGCAAACA